RNA transcript from Peromyscus californicus insignis, 2761 nucleotides. It is a transcript of the gene named protein phosphatase 2 phosphatase activator, with no coding region annotated. The transcript has 11 exons. NCBI's taxonomy places the organism in Eukaryota, Metazoa, Chordata, Mammalia, Rodentia, Cricetidae. The record is from RefSeq and is a predicted model, not a curated record.
CGUGCGUCCGUCCGUACCGCGGCCCCGAGACGGCAGUUGGUGGGCAUGCUCCCUGCGUGCCCCGCACUGGCAUGGCUGCCGCCUUCACGAGAGUGACUGUAAUUCUCGGCUUCCGGUCGUAGCCGGCCGGCGCUCAUUUCUCUUGUGGAAGCUUAGUGGAGCCGGGGAAAGGUGCGCCGUGGACGGUGAGAGGGAACUGCGAGCAUCCGCGCCGGCUGCUAACGGGGAAGAUGGCUGAGGGCGAGCGGCAGCCGCCGCCAGAUUCUUCAGAGGACAUCCCUCCAGCUACUCAGAACUUUAUCAUUCCAAAAAAGGAGAUCCACACAGUUCCAGAUAUGGGCAAAUGGAAGCGCUCUCAGGCAUAUGCUGACUACAUCGGCUUUAUCCUUACCCUCAACGAAGGUGUGAAAGGGAAGAAGCUGACCUUCGACUACAAAGUCUCUGAGGCCAUUGAGAAGCUGGUAGCUCUUCUUGAUACGCUGGAUAGGUGGAUUGAUGAGACCCCGCCGGUGGACCAGCCUUCCCGAUUUGGGAACAAGGCCUACAGGACCUGGUAUGCCAAACUUGAUCAGGAAGCAGAGAACUUGGUGGCCACAGUGGUUCCCACCCACCUGUCGGCGGCUGUACCUGAAGUGGCAGUUUACUUGAAGGAGGCUGUGGGGAACUCCACUCGCAUUGACUAUGGCACAGGGCAUGAGGCCGCCUUUGCUGCUUUCCUCUGCUGUCUCUGCAAGAUCGGGGUGCUCCGGGUAGACGACCAGGUGGCUAUUGUCUUCAAGGUGUUUGAUAGGUACCUCGAGGUUAUGCGGAAGUUGCAGAAGACGUACAGGAUGGAGCCUGCAGGCAGCCAGGGCGUGUGGGGUCUGGAUGACUUCCAGUUCCUGCCCUUCAUCUGGGGCAGCUCACAGCUCAUAGACCACCCCCACCUGGAGCCCAGACAUUUUGUGGAUGAGAAGGCGGUGAGCGAGAACCACAAGGACUACAUGUUCCUUCAGUGCAUCCUGUUCAUCACUGAGAUGAAGACCGGCCCCUUUGCAGAGCACUCCAACCAGCUGUGGAACAUCAGUGCUGUCCCCUCGUGGUCUAAAGUGAACCAAGGCCUCAUCCGCAUGUAUAAGGCGGAGAAAGGGGGAGAAGACUCUUACCUUCUUCCUCCCUGUCUCCACGGCCCCUCUCGGCUUGAGCACACUAGUCCUUGGAACUGCUGCUCUUUGACCUUGCGCAGCCCGCCUGCCCCCCAGCCUCUGGCCUUGUCCUGCUGAUGCCCGUCUCUGAUUCUUGACAACAUCAUCCCUUCUCUUCUGGAGAAGUCAAGUUUCACUGGGCUCAGAGCUCACCCUAUCCAUCAUCAGAGUGCCUGGAGAAGUUCCCUGUGAUCCAGCACUUCAAGUUCGGGAGCCUGCUGCCCAUCCAUCCUGUCACAUCAGGCUAGGAGAGCCUGAGCCACCAGAGCCACCCUGGCCAGGUUCCUGUCCCUCUGACCCAGCACCCUCCACCCACCUUGUGUUCUUUCUGUUUGAUGAGAUGCUCUUUACUGAGAUGGGUGCUGAACAGGGCCUGAGUCGUGGGAAUUGACCGAAGUGUGGCCAGUUUCUGACUGUCCGUCUGCUGGGCAAGCAAGAAGAGGGCUGGGACGUGGUCUCAGGGCCCUGCCCAUCCCUGUCCUCCUCGCUUCCUUCCUCUCUUGCCCAGGCCCAUGUGCAGACAAGGGCGGCCUGCUCUUCCCAUUGCUUCCCUUUUCCCAUGAUGGGACUCCUCGUUCAGAGAGGAGUGCUGCACCUCCGGAGCAGCUGGUCAGCUUCCCCGAGCUGUGUUCCUUCCACUGGCUGUCUGCUGUGGGGCUGGAGGCUGAGGCUGUCAGCAGCUGGGGAGGGCUGAGGGUGAGAUGAUGAGGUUGGCCUUCUCAAGGUAGCCUCCUAGGCCCUGAGGUUACCUGUGCCCAGCCUCAUUCUGGCUUCUGUUCCCUGGCCCUUGGAUUUGCUGGGUUUCCUGACUCUUAGUAAUGUUCCCCUUCCUGGGGGUAGCCUAGCUAUGGAAGCUUCCCUGGGCUCCUGGGAAAGCCUGUAGAAUGGGUGAGGACUGUCUUUCCAGAAUUGUCUCCGGCAGGGAGAGAAUGGUAGAGACUCAGGGAGGCACUAGGGCUCUUGUGUGUGGAGAACCUGGUUUCCUCCGGUCAGUCUUAGGCCUGACCAGUGCUGUCCCUUCCUCCCUGCUUCCGUGGCCUUGAGCUUCACCUGAGGCCCUUGCUUGCUGCUCUGCUCCCUUGGGUCGGUCUGGGGCUGGUGUGAGAUGGCAGGGGAGGCGGCAGCCCUCUCUUCCGACCCUUUAUGAGAUGAGGCAAGUGUACCCUGGCCCUGGGCACAGACUCAGAAUGGGCAGAACUGCCGAGGGGACCUAGCCCCAGUCAGCAGUUUUCCCCCAGUGCUGUGGCUGAGCUGGUACCUGCAGGCUUCCCUGCCACCCUCCUCCUGUCCUUCUGCACUGCUCAUCCUGUGUCUGUGUCCACGGAGCUUUGGGGAGUGGACACAGAGAGCACAGCCCAGGGCCUUGGCCAGAGCUUAGCAAUGGUCUGCACAGAGCUGGGACUGCAGUCAUCGGUGUCACAGGUCGUUUCCCAGGAAAGACCCAGUGCCAGCCUCCCUUCCAGGGCCAGGCCACCACCUUCCUGGGUCCCUAGCCCUGUGCCUCUCCCUCCGCUGUCCCUGGGUCCCUAGGCCUGCCUCCCUUGCUGUUUGGAUUAAAGCCUCUGUUUUACACCUGG